UGGGGAAUAUUGCGCAAUGGGCGAAAGCCUGACGCAGCGACGCCGCGUGAGGGAUGAAGGUUUUCGGAUCGUAAAACUCUGUUGUUAGAGAAGAACAAGGAUGAGAGUAGAAUGUUCAUCCCUUGACGGUAUCUAACCAGAAAGCCACGGCUAACUACGUGCCAGCAGCCGCGGUAAUACGUAGGUGGCAAGCGUUGUCCGGAUUUAUUGGGCGUAAAGCGAGCGCAGGCGGUUUCUUAAGUCUGAUGUGAAAGCCCCCGGCUCAACCGGGGAGGGUCAUUGGAAACUGGGAAACUUGAGUGCAGAAGAGGAGAGUGGAAUUCCAUGUGUAGCGGUGAAAUGCGUAGAUAUAUGGAGGAACACCAGUGGCGAAGGCGGCUCUCUGGUCUGUAACUGACGCUGAGGCUCGAAAGCGUGGGGAGCAAACAGG
RNAcentral lists this ribosomal RNA (430 nucleotides) under Fusobacteriota bacterium. RNAcentral's name for it is "Fusobacteria bacterium partial 16S ribosomal RNA". It matches the Rfam family "Bacterial small subunit ribosomal RNA", at positions 355 to 776 of the family's 1533-position model. The record is from RNAcentral. Lineage: Bacteria; Fusobacteriati; Fusobacteriota.